CCAUAAGACAAGAUUAAUGUCUAACAAUAUAUCAUAUCUAUCUAAAAGAUAUAAAAUUUUGAUAAAAAUAUCAAAAAUAUCCUUUAGUGGAGAGUUAUCGUGCAAUUCGAUCCUGCGAUCUCUUUGCAUCCCAAAUAUGACUCUGAAUAUGAAAUGAUGUCAAAUCUAAUAUCAUACUCAUAUUUCUCUUAAUCUUUAAUGAUGAUUCGAUUAAUAAAAUA
This 221-nucleotide long non-coding RNA is filed under the name Elaeis guineensis (African oil palm). RNAcentral describes it as "long non-coding RNA (EGUI_LNC060495)". Lineage: Eukaryota; Viridiplantae; Streptophyta; Magnoliopsida; Arecales; Arecaceae. The record is from RNAcentral.